Molecule: ribosomal RNA, 246 nt
Filed under: uncultured Eubacteriales bacterium
Lineage: Bacteria; Bacillati; Bacillota; Clostridia; Eubacteriales
Description: uncultured Clostridiales bacterium partial 16S ribosomal RNA
Rfam family: Bacterial small subunit ribosomal RNA
Source: RNAcentral
UGGAUUAGCGGCGGACGGGUGAGUAACACGUGAGUAACCUGCCUUAGACAUUGGGAUAGCCUCGGGAAACCGGGAUUAAUACCAAAUAAAAUCAUAAUGACACAUGUCAUAACGAUCAAAACUCCGGUGGUCUAAGAUGGACUCGCGUCCCACUAGCUAGUUGGUAGAGUAAAAGCCUACCAAGGCGACGAUGGGUAGCCGGCCUGAGAGGGUGAACGGCCACAUUGGAACUGAGAAACGGUCCAA